AAAGACCUUAUGCUUUUGGAGCGGCCGAUGUCUGAUUAGCUAGUUGGUAAGGUAAUGGCUUACCAAGGCAACGAUCAGUAGUUGGUCUGAGAGGACGACCAGCCACACUGGGACUGAGACACGGCCCAGACUCCUACGGGAGGCAGCAGUGGGGAAUUUUGGACAAUGGGCGCAAGCCUGAUCCAGCAAUGCCGCGUGAGUGAAGAAGGCCUUCGGGUUGUAAAGCUCUUUCAGUUGAGAAGAAAAGAUUGUGACUAAUAAUUGCAAUUCAUGACGGUAUCAACAGAAGAAGCACCGGCUAACUACGUGCCAGCAGCCGCGGUAAUACGUAGGGUGCAAGCGUUAAUCGGAAUUACUGGGCGUAAAGGGUGCGCAGGCGGUUCUGUAAGUCAGAUGUGAAAUCCCCGGGCUUAACCUGGGAACU
This 424-nucleotide ribosomal RNA is filed under the name uncultured beta proteobacterium. Its description in RNAcentral is "bacterial SSU rRNA". It matches the Rfam family "Bacterial small subunit ribosomal RNA", at positions 202 to 622 of the family's 1533-position model. Lineage: Bacteria; Pseudomonadati; Pseudomonadota; Betaproteobacteria. The record is from RNAcentral.